GUGAAGAUAGCUCAAUUGGGAGAGCAACUGACUCAUAAUCAGUGGGUUACGGGUUCAAUCCCCGUUCUUCAGACCA
RNAcentral lists this transfer RNA (76 nucleotides) under Gammaproteobacteria bacterium. RNAcentral describes it as "tRNA-Met". It matches the Rfam family "tRNA". From Rfam's summary of the family: Transfer RNA (tRNA) molecules are approximately 80 nucleotides in length. Lineage: Bacteria; Pseudomonadati; Pseudomonadota; Gammaproteobacteria. The record is from RNAcentral.